This 281-nucleotide unclassified non-coding RNA is filed under the name uncultured Cortinariaceae. RNAcentral's name for it is "sequence contains 5.8S rRNA gene". The stretch from base 1 to 53 matches the Rfam family "5.8S ribosomal RNA", at positions 102 to 154 of the family's 154-position model. Lineage: Eukaryota; Fungi; Basidiomycota; Agaricomycetes; Agaricales; Cortinariaceae. The record is from RNAcentral.
GAACGCACCUUGCGCUCCUUGGUAUUCCGAGGAGCAUGCCUGUUUGAGUGUCAUUAAUAUAUAUCAACCUUCUCACUUGUUGAGAGGUUUGGAUGUGGGGGUUUGCUGGCCUUGUAAAGGGUUCAGCUCCCCUGAAAUGCAUUAGCAGAACAACCCUGUUCAUUGGUGUGAUAACUAUCUACGCUAUUGAAUGUAAGGGGCAGUUCAGCUUUCUAACAGUCCUCGGACAAUUCAUCAUUAAUGUGACCUCAAAUCAGGUAGGACUACCCGCUGAACUUAAG